AUUUUGUGUUUUUUUGGAAUACAGGGGAACGGCUAUUGGAUUCCAUACUGUACAGUGGGCCUGAUAUUCCUUUUUAUAAUAUUCUGCGGUGGACCAACUGGAGUGAUGCCUCCCUUCAGUCAUGAGAUAUUCGUACAGACCUACCGGCCGGCCGCCUUCGUCUUCUCCGGGAUACUCAGGUGGUUGGGAUUCUUCAUAAUGGGAAUGAUCUUUCCCUUCCUGCUUGCAUCUUUGAAGUCCUUCAGUUUUUUGCUGUUUGCCAGUGUCUGUCUGUUGGGGGCGCUGUUUGUCUUUUUCCUGGUGCCCGAAACGAAGGGCAAAACUCUCCUUGAAAUAUCAGAGGAGUUUAACAAGAUCCACAUAUACAGGCCUUCACUGAGUAAGGACGUGGUUUUGGAGACGAGGCUAUAAAACAAGCCGUCUGUUUGCUUUGUGCCAAAACUGCAGAAGCAGGUCUUGUGAAAGGGUUUGGAUCUCUUAAAAAUUCAUACUUUAAAUGGUAUUCUUUGCACGUUCCCAUGGCAACAAGAACAAGAAAGCCACUCAUUUUUAAGUUCCUGGCCAUUUAUCCCUGACUUUCCGGUUCAAGUUUAACUGGAAGCAAAUUUUGAAACAUUUCAGCUGUUCGGCACAUUGCGCCUUUCUGUGAAUGCAGUCUGUUUGGUUUUAUUUAGUACAGAUUAAACAUUUGUGCCAGCCUGAUGCCCUAAGUAUUUAAUUGGCUGCAAAUUAGAUCUUUAUUGUUCUUAGUAAAAAUAUUUGCCUUCAAAUAAUUGAUGGAUUUACUUUUUUGUGUACUUUGUCUUUGCAAAGAAUAAAAUCAACUUCUAACAGACAA
Paramormyrops kingsleyae is the source of this 838-nucleotide non-coding RNA. The record is from RefSeq and is a predicted model, not a curated record. Lineage: Eukaryota; Metazoa; Chordata; Actinopteri; Osteoglossiformes; Mormyridae.